UACGGGAGGCAGCAGUCGGGAAUAUUGCGCAAUGGAGGAAACUCUGACGCAGUGACGCCGCGUGCAGGAAGAAGGUUUUCGGAUUGUAAACUGCUUUAGACAGGGAAGAAAAAGGACAGUACCUGUAGAAUAAGCUCCGGCUAACUACGUGCCAGCAGCCGCGGUAAU
This 168-nucleotide ribosomal RNA is filed under the name uncultured rumen bacterium. Its description in RNAcentral is "partial 16S ribosomal RNA". It matches the Rfam family "Bacterial small subunit ribosomal RNA", at positions 340 to 524 of the family's 1533-position model. The record is from RNAcentral.